Molecule: unclassified non-coding RNA, 241 nt
Filed under: Tolypocladium sp.
Lineage: Eukaryota; Fungi; Ascomycota; Sordariomycetes; Hypocreales; Ophiocordycipitaceae
Description: partial contains small subunit ribosomal RNA, internal transcribed spacer 1, and 5.8S ribosomal RNA
Rfam family: Eukaryotic small subunit ribosomal RNA (bases 1-46)
Source: RNAcentral
AAGUCGUAACAAGGUCUCCGUUGGUGAACCAGCGGAGGGAUCAUUACCGAGUUAUCAACUCCCAAACCCCUGUGAACAUACCUGAACGUUGCUUCGGCGGGACCGCCCCGGCGCCCAUCUCGGUCGGCCCGGAACCAGGCGCCCGCCGGAGGACCCAAACUCUUGCUUUCAUUCAGUGGCAUUCUCUGAGUACAACAAACAAAAUAAAUCAAAACUUUCAACAACGGAUCUCUUGGCUCUG